ACAUCCUUAACUUUUUGCCAUAUAUAUUUUUUUUGCCAUUUCUCAACACAAACCCUUUCGGUGGGGAAUACCAGUUCAUCGAAUUCGCUUGUAUUCUAUCAAUUUUGGACAUCGGCCAUACGUGCUAAAGGUACACUUAUGUAAAAUUACCUGUUAUGUUGAAACCAAACGGAUUAUUUAAAGUUUAUGUUACAGUUAGACGACUGGCUGUAUAAAAUAUGAUAUAAAUCUCAGUAUUACGCAUUACAACAACCAAACAGGAAGUAUAAUUAUAUGGUUGAAAUUUCAAUUUAGGUGAUAACAAAUCUAAAAUAGCGUACUUUAAGGUAGAAAUGACUCAAUUUGUACAUACAAAUCAGGUUUGAAUCAUCGUAAAGUAGGGGAUAUGCAAUUUUGUUUCCGCAACACCGGAUGACUCAAAAUGUUCUCUGUGACUCUCAUACACUGUCGAAACUUAUGACGCGCGCGCGCGCGCGCGCACACACACACACACACACACGCACACUAGCACGCACACGCACACACUCAAACACACACAUAUACAUCAUUAUUUUAUUUUUUGUCAAUAUGUGUUCUUCAUGUAAAAACCCAUAAGUAAAUUCAUAAUGACGAAAAUUUCUACUUUAUUUUCCAAUUGUCACAAUAUUUUACGUUUUCACUAAAAGAGGUUUAUAUCAUUAUUCAGGUCCAAUAUCAGCACAUUCAAAAUAUUGCCCAUCAAUUAAACAGCAUCAGAUAUUAAACAAAUUUUGGGAUGAAUAAAACACCAAGGUACUUGACAAAAAAUUUGAUGUUAUAACAAACGCGGAAGCAUAGAGACGGAUUACGUACCUUACAUUUACCCUAUUUCUGAUUACUGUUUUAGAACGAAUGAUUUAAAAUCAGUAGAUUUCCUGAAAACUGCAUAAAAAUCGUUUCAUGUUAACAUGUGUGUAAAUCAAAAAAUGUUUGAAUUUGAUUUCUCAUUUUAAGAAAAUGCUUGAAUGUGCGCAGGUUCGUUUAUUUUGUAGAGAUUAACGACGCAUCGACAUAAUUAUAAGUCAUUGUGCGCAAAUGUUACUCUAAAAGAUUCAAAUGGCUUCAUAAUAUCAUCGUUUGUAAAUGAUAAAACAUUUAAAUAUAAAAGGAACCGGGAUAACUUCAUUCUACAGAAAGUGUUUACAUUCAGAUUAAUACAGGCAUUUGGGGUGGAAAGUAAGUUUUAAAUCCCCAAAAAUACUGUAUAAAUAAACCUAUAAAGCAUACAUUUCAACCAAGAAAAUAAUAGCAUCGGUUUGAAUGAGUAUGUUCCUUAAAGGUAAUGGAAAGUGCAACAACUCUCACGUCCCCUAUCACCGGUCUUAGCGGAAUUCUAUUACAUAGAUAUUGAAUGGACUCCAUGGCCUCAAAUGAACAGAAAAUAUAUCAACACUGAAUCCAGUUAGGGGAGACUUUCUGCGACCGCCGCACUGGACUUAAAGAUCGGUAGUUAAUAAAAUUUGGAAAGAUAGAAUGUAAACAAGUAAACUGAUAGCGGACUCGGUUUGAUUGAGUCUGUUCUCAGAGGUAAUGGAAAGUGCAACACUCCUCUCGCCGGCUUAAGCGAAACUCUAUUACAUAGAUACUCAAUAGACACCAUGAUCCCAAAGGACCAGAAAAUAUAAUAAAUUAAAGUAAGGGGAGACUUUUUACGACCGCCACACGGCACUUAAAAAUUUCUUUUGCGAUAGUUAAUAAAAUCUGUAAAAACAUAGAAUUCAGCCAACUUGAAGCAAAUAAAUAGCAGACUCUAUUUGACUGAGUCUGUUCAUGAGAGGUUAUGGAAAGUGCUCUCACGCCCCUUAGCACCAGCUUAAGGGAAAUUCUAUUACAUAGAUACUGAAUGGACUCCCUGGUCCCCAAAUCAUAUCGUAACGGGGCUCAAUAUUGUUGAAUUUUAAAAUAUGAUAUUAAGGAAAAUGUUACUCUGAAUGUACGAAUAUUAAGAAAAUGUACCUGAGUAAUAUGAAUAAUAUUGCUGCAAUAUCAAACAGCUGUUGAAAAUUCCAUUUAGUUUAUUUUUGUGCCCCCGCUUUACUUCAUACGUGUAGCUAUUAACUAAAUAUAUAGGUUUCCUAUUAUUUCUCUUCUGUUAAAUUCAUUGCUAUAUGUUACACUUUUAUGAUAUUUAUAUUUUCUUUUGGUGCGAACAAAUCAUUAUGUUAUUAGUCGCCUACUGGUUGAAACCUAGUUUCGCGGGCUAUAAGAAUGCGCUUCUCAGUCAUUCUGUCAUUCCGUUCAUCCGCAAUUUCGUGACCGGUCCAUAUCUCUUUCAUUCAUCAAGGAUUUUAAUAUUAUUUGGCACGUGUCAUGCGCAAAAUCCGUACCCUUAGUUUAAAGGUCAAGGUCACAAUUGGAGGUCAAAGGUCAACAGGGCUUGUUUUCUUAACCGGUCAAUAACUCUGCCAUCUAUGAAGGUAUUUUAAAUGUACCCCGUAGUAAGACAAUGUGCCAUGCACAACUUUCAGACCAGAGAAAUUUAAAGGUCAAGGUCAUACUUGGCAGGCAAAUGUUGGCAUGACAUGAAUAGGAUCUGUCUCGUGUCUGGUCGAUUCAUUCAUCGAGGGUUUUUUUUUAUAUUUCUAGGUACAAUUGUAUUCUAUGAUAAGACAACGUGUUAUGCUCAAAUUCCGGACCUCUAGCUCAAAGUUCAAGGUCAAAAAUGGAAGUCAAAGGUCAACAGGGCUUUUCUUCCUGUCGGGUCCUUAACUCUUCCAUCAAUGAAUUGAUUUUAAUAUUAAUUGACAUGAAUGUAUCCUAUAACAAUAGAUUUGUCAUGGACAGUAUAUGAUCUCUAGGUCAAAGGUCAAGGUCAAAUGAUAACAUGGCAUGAACAGGGUCUAUUUCGUGUCUGUGUCAUUCAUCAGGGGAUUACAAUAUUACUUGGCAUAAAUGUUCCCAAUGAAAAGACGAUGUUUCAUACGCAACAUCCAGAACCUUAGCUUAAAGAACCCUUAGCUGAGAGGCGAAUGCCACACUUGAAAGUCGAAGGCCCAAAGGGCUUUAUUUCCUGUCUGUAACUCAAGAAGUUUUGAAGGUAUUUAAAGAUAUAAGAAGAUGUGUCAUGCGCAACAAGUAGAUACCUAACUCAGAGGUCAAGGUCACUGACAGAGGUCGAAGGUAUUUUUGAAGAUUUCUUUUCUUUUUUGGUCCAUAACUCAAUCAUAAAAUAAGGGAUUACAUUAUAACUUGAUACAAGUUUUCCCCAUAAUAAGGUGAUGUGUCAUGUGCAAAACCUAGAUCCCUAGUGCGUAGGUCAAGGUCACACCGGUUCAGUGUGUAAAAUAGUUUAUAUUAGCUCAUGCGUAAUAUGGACCAAAAGUAUUCUGGUGUAUUUUCGUCAAUAAUAUUUCUGAAUUAUGAUGAUUUCUUACAUUUUUUCUUAUAUGUUCCCACCAAUUUCAAUAUUGAAAUAAAAUAAUACUUCUUAUAGGGAAUCGAUCCUACCGAAAAUCGGGAUCGAAUCCCACUACGGUAACAUACGAGGGUAUCCAAACAACACAUACUAUCCAAAUAAAAAAAUAUGGAGUUCCGGUUUAGACCAUGGGCGUGCGACGACCCCGAUGAAAUUCGGGAUAUCACGGUCUUCGUUAAUGUUAAUAAGCGUCCGUCAGAUCAGUAGGCGAAACGCAAUAUCCGCAAAAUAAAAUGUCUGCGACCCGAAAGAAUAUUCAAAGUAAGCUGUUAAUUUUGUUGCGUCAGAAGCUAAUCAGCCGGUAACGUGACUACACUGAUAUAAUUUGUGAUACAAACAUGCUUUAUUCAAUACUGAGUAGCAUUUUUAAACGGCGACAUUUUGAAUAUUUCUAUAUUUAGAGUGAGAGUGGAUACAGUUUCACUGGCGCCGACAUUUUGAAAAUUUGAGAAAACAAAAACAUUCUCCAACAGCUCGGGGAAUGAGAGAAUAGAUUCACCUUUGUGUCGCUUUUCAGAUCGUAUUUUAAUUCCUUUCCGGUACUUUAGUUUCUUUGAACUUCUCUGUUACUCACUAAGCAUUACAGUAUUGAAUUUUUAAAAUUAAGAAAUCCGUGAUUUUACUUGCAGGCAUGACUGACAAAUGGAAUUAUUUUACUUUUAUAUAGAAUAUGGACGGCACUCCAGUACAGCAUGUGCAUGGUUAGACCUGUUGACAUUUUUAGAAACGCAUCUUGGUCUAUUAUACAGAGUAUUGUUGUACUGCUCCAAGUGCUUGUUGACAGACUGAAACCACUUGCUUGCAGCUCAUAAGGUUUACUUCUUGAGAGCAGGCAGCUACAAAAUGGAAGGUCAACAAAUCCAGUAUACUUGAAAAGCAAGAAAGAAACACCAGAAAAUAUGAAAAGACAGAAAUACAAGGGAACUUGAAUAAAAAAAAACUUUUAAGGAUAGGAAUUCAGGAUUUACUUGGAAACUAAAUUUAUUUUGAGAGUAGCAGUGAUUGACUAAGCUCUGUUACUUUAAGAGAUAAUGUAUUAUCACAUUGGUUUGUUAUUGUCGAGCCCGCUUGCGGAAGCGAAGACAUAGUUGUCCAAAUGUCUGUUCGGUGUAUGUGCGUGCGUGCGUCCUUCCGGAUUUGUUUGUCCAGACCAUAACUUGAACAUGCAUGGAGCAAUCUUGUUUAAUUUGGUAUGAAUGUUAACCUCAGUGAGACGGAGUGUCAUGCACAAACCCCAGGUUCCUAUCUCAAAGGCCAAGGUCACACUUACAGGUCAAAGGUCAAAUUCAAAAAUGACUGUCUGGAGCAUUUCUUCUUCAUGCAUGGAGGGAUUUUGAUGUAACUUGGCACAAUUGUUCAACAUCAUGAGAUGGAGUGUGAUGCGCAAGAACCAGGUCCCUAGGUCUAAGGUCAAGGUCACACUUAGAGGUCAAAGGAUACAAUAAUGACAACUUUGUCCGGAGUAUUUCUUCUUCAUGCAUGGAGGGAUUUUGAUGUAACUUGGCACAAAUGUUCACCACCAUGAGAAUGAGUGUCAUGCGGAAGAACCAGUUCCCUAGGUCUAAGAUAAAGGCCACAUUUAGAGGUCAAAAGUCAGAUACAAGAAUGACUUUGUCUGGAGCAUUUCUUUUUGAUGCAUAGAGGGAUUUUGAUGUAACUUGGCACAAUUGUUCAUCAUCAUGCGACGGAGGGUCAUGCAUAAGAUCCUAGAAUUACUUCCCUUUGUUGUUACUAUAAAUAGCUUACAUUUGUAACUUUUUAUUACUGGUCAUAGGGAAAAAUCAAGACCACUUUUCUGUAGUACAACAUGCAUGUUACAUCCAAUUUUCAGGUGUAUUUUGACCUAUCUCUGGUGGUGCGGUUUUUUGUG
Long non-coding RNA from Mercenaria mercenaria, 5303 nucleotides. RefSeq lists it as uncharacterized. NCBI's taxonomy places the organism in Eukaryota, Metazoa, Mollusca, Bivalvia, Venerida, Veneridae. The record is from RefSeq and is a predicted model, not a curated record. The transcript has 3 exons.